This 253-nucleotide ribosomal RNA is filed under the name uncultured bacterium. RNAcentral's name for it is "partial 16S ribosomal RNA". It matches the Rfam family "Bacterial small subunit ribosomal RNA", at positions 524 to 776 of the family's 1533-position model. The record is from RNAcentral.
UACAGAGGUCUCAAGCGUUGUUCGGAUUCAUUGGGCGUAAAGGGUGCGUAGGCGGCGCGGUAAGUCGGGUGUGAAAUCUCGGAGCUUAACUCCGAAACUGCAUUCGAGACUGCCGUGCUUGAGGACUGGAGAGGAGACUGGAAUUUACGGUGUAGCGGUGAAAUGCGUAGAUAUCGUAAGGAAGACCAGUGGCGAAGGCGGGUCUCUGGACAGGUCCUGACGCUGAGGCACGAAGGUCAGGGGAGCAAACGGG